This 385-nucleotide long non-coding RNA is filed under the name Homo sapiens (human). RNAcentral's name for it is "non-protein coding lnc-DEFB131A-4:1". Lineage: Eukaryota; Metazoa; Chordata; Mammalia; Primates; Hominidae. The record is from RNAcentral.
CAGAGCCCCCGGAGCCAUGGCCAGCCCUUCCGGCAGCUCCAAAGCCACAGGCAAGCCCCGAGGCUGGGAUGGCCGGCCCAGGAGGGAGGAGGACGACGUACCUCCCGAGGAGAAGAGGCUGCGGCUGGGGCUGGAAGGGGGAAGCGCACAGCCCGAGGACUGCGAGGACGGGGAGGACGCGCCGCGGCCAGGCAGGGAGGAGACCGGCACCCAGACAGGUGGCGACGGCAGAGGAGCUGACCACCACAGUCCUGUCUUUUCUGCCAGAAGGAAGUCAAGUGUUGUUACAAGAACAAGUGUGAAAAACAUUUUCCUGAUUAAGAUUUCUAGCACCAUGAAAGUUGUAAGUAUUUAGAUUGUCGUACCCCACGUCCAAGUGAUUAGA